This 490-nucleotide ribosomal RNA is filed under the name Bacillus sp. (in: firmicutes). RNAcentral's name for it is "bacterial SSU rRNA". It matches the Rfam family "Bacterial small subunit ribosomal RNA", at positions 382 to 864 of the family's 1533-position model. The record is from RNAcentral. Lineage: Bacteria; Bacillati; Bacillota; Bacilli; Caryophanales; Bacillaceae.
UCUGACGGAGCAACGCCGCGUGAGUGAUGAAGGCUUUCGGGUCGUAAAACUCUGUUGUUAGGGAAGAACAAGUGCUAGUUGAAUAAGCUGGCACCUUGACGGUACCUAACCAGAAAGCCACGGCUAACUACGUGCCAGCAGCCGCGGUAAUACGUAGGUGGCAAGCGUUAUCCGGAAUUAUUGGGCGUAAAGCGCGCGCAGGUGGUUUCUUAAGUCUGAUGUGAAAGCCCACGGCUCAACCGUGGAGGGUCAUUGGAAACUGGGAGACUUGAGUGCAGAAGAGGAAAGUGGAAUUCCAUGUGUAGCGGUGAAAUGCGUAGAGAUAUGGAGGAACACCAGUGGCGAAGGCGACUUUCUGGUCUGUAACUGACACUGAGGCGCGAAAGCGUGGGGAGCAAACAGGAUUAGAUACCCUGGUAGUCCACGCCGUAAACGAUGAGUGCUAAGUGUUAGAGGGUUUCCGCCCUUUAGUGCUGAAGUAACGCAUAAG